RNAcentral lists this ribosomal RNA (264 nucleotides) under uncultured archaeon. RNAcentral describes it as "partial 16S ribosomal RNA". It matches the Rfam family "Archaeal small subunit ribosomal RNA", at positions 717 to 982 of the family's 1478-position model. The record is from RNAcentral.
AGACGUCUACAUUAGAUACCCGUGUAGUCCCAGCCCUAAACGAUGCGCGUUAGGUGUAUCGGUGACCACGAGUCACCGAGGUGCCGAAGGGAAACCGUGAAACGUGCCGCCUGGGAAGUACGGUCGCAAGGCUGAAACUUAAAGGAAUUGGCGGGGAGCACCACAACGGGUGGAGCCUGCGGUUUAAUUGGACUCAACGCCGGGAAGCUCACCGGAUAAGACGGCGGAAUGAUUGCCGGGCUGAAGACCCUGCAUGACCAGCUG